UUGCUGUUUUUAUGAUGUACCACAGAAGAGAGAGGUUACAGCUGGGUCCGACAGGUCGCAGCGGACAACUCAGCAAAAUGAAGACAUCUACCAAGACAGUUCCUUUUAACAAAGACCCUUUUGAUCUGAUCAACAACAUGCCUCAUCGCUAUCUCGCACCCCCCAAUGAACCUGCAAGUGAUCACUCAUGUUUCCUGAUUUCAUCACAGACACAAAGAAUGAACGUUGAUCACUCAUGUUUCCUGAUUUCAUCACAGACACAAAGAAUGGUUGCUGAUCACUCAUACUCCUCAUCACACUGUUCC
Molecule: long non-coding RNA, 305 nt
Organism: Syngnathus acus (greater pipefish)
Lineage: Eukaryota; Metazoa; Chordata; Actinopteri; Syngnathiformes; Syngnathidae
Exons: 3
Source: RefSeq, a predicted model, not a curated record